This 385-nucleotide ribosomal RNA is filed under the name Lorryia sp. BSM-2017. Its description in RNAcentral is "eukaryotic LSU rRNA". The stretch from base 2 to 126 matches the Rfam family "5.8S ribosomal RNA", at positions 30 to 154 of the family's 154-position model. The record is from RNAcentral. Lineage: Eukaryota; Metazoa; Arthropoda; Arachnida; Trombidiformes; Tydeidae.
AGUAUCGAUGAAGAACGCAGCAAGCUACGAUAAACGGUGUAAAUUGCAGAACACGCCGAACACUUGAUCUUUGAACGCACAUUGCGGGCUAGCAUCAUUGACUAGCCCAUGUCUGUGUGAGGGUUGUAAAGAGAAAUAUCAACACAUAGUAUGGAGGGAUAGGGAGAGGAUUCGUAUCCGAUCGCUAUCCCAAAACACAUACAAACACACGUCGCUUGUUGGAUGAUGUAUUGUGCGAGAUACCAAGCGUAUCUAUUCACAGCACAUGCAUAUCUAUACGGUCCACUUGCGUAUUUCGUUGUUGUUGUCCUUACUCAGCAACCUCACAUCAGGCAAGAGCACCCGCUGAAUUUAAGCAUAUCACUAAGCGGAGGAAAAGAAAAAC